GAUGAAGAACGUAGCGAAAUGCGAUAAGUAAUGUGAAUUGCAGAAUUCAGUGAAUCAUCGAAUCUUUGAACGCACAUUGCGCCCCUUGGUAUUCCGAGGGGCAUGCCUGUUCGAGCGUCAUUAUAACCCUCAAGCUCAGCUUGGUGUUGGGGCCUGCUGCACUGGCAGCCCUUAAAAUCAGUGGCGGCGCCAUCUGGCUCUAAGCGUAGUAAUUCUUCUCGCUAUGGAGUCCUGGUGGAUGCUUGCCAUCAACCCCCAAUUUUUCUAUGGUUGACCUCGGAUCAGGUAAGGAUACCCGCUGAACUUAAGCAUAUCAAUAAGCGGAGGA
RNAcentral lists this unclassified non-coding RNA (328 nucleotides) under soil metagenome. Its description in RNAcentral is "partial contains 5.8S ribosomal RNA, internal transcribed spacer 2, and large subunit ribosomal RNA". The stretch from base 1 to 120 matches the Rfam family "5.8S ribosomal RNA", at positions 35 to 154 of the family's 154-position model. The record is from RNAcentral.